Neopelma chrysocephalum (saffron-crested tyrant-manakin) is the source of this 1889-nucleotide long non-coding RNA. RefSeq lists it as uncharacterized. The record is from RefSeq and is a predicted model, not a curated record. The transcript has 2 exons. NCBI's taxonomy places the organism in Eukaryota, Metazoa, Chordata, Aves, Passeriformes, Pipridae.
CGCCACGAGGCCGACGCGCGCCGGCCGCCCGCGCACCGUCAGGUGGAAGGCGAAGACCCCCGGGAAGCCGUAGUUGCCCUUAUUGCCUUUGGCUCCGGCUUCACCUGGAACAGGGAAAAGUAAGGGGGGAAAGGAAGAUUAAAACCAACAGUGUUGGAUUGUUUUGGAGACAGAGAGGCAUCACCAACAGCAAAGGGAAAGGUCAGGGCAAUAUUCCUGGUUUCCCAGCGCAUGUUAUGUACCUUGUAGCCCAGGUUUCCCUGGAUAACCGGGAUUUCCACUUGCUCCUCGCUCGCCUUGCUCCCCUUUUCCUCCUAGAACAUUCCACAAUUAAUGAAUUCAUUAAUUCUGUCUGCAGCCAGCAAUCAUUACACAGCAAUAAUCCACUGGGACCAUUUCCAUGCAUCCCUCACUUCCCUGAUAGAACAGUGUGUGUUUGCAAGAAACCCCUUCAGAAACCUCGGCUGAAUCUCACACCUCAAGAACCAUCUCACUCUGUGCUGGAUUUCUGCCUCACUGGGAGGCAGUUCCUGCUGUUGAAUGGCAAGAUGGAGAAGGUGACAGCAUUCCUCAUUCCAGGAUUGCCAAAAGCCUUGUUCCAGAGGUGAAUCGAGGCCUAAAAGACUGACUAAACAGCUCAGCACCCUGCUGCUGGAAGCCCUGUAUCAGCUUUGCUGUGGGAUUCUCCACGACCCAAGGCAGCCACAGGAUCCUGCCAGAGGUGUGUGGGGCAGGAAUCAGCUGCUCCAAGCCUGGAAUGAAGGCCAAGUUUUCCUUUUGGUCACUACUGAUGGGUGACAACUGCUCUCCAUACAAGCCGAAAUCAUUUUUCCUGAGAUACUUCAACUGAAAUGCAGCUUCUACACCUGCUUUCGUGGUGGGUUUUCCCACUUAUGUCCCUCAUCCAAAGCAAAUUGAACUCAGUUUUUAAACUAUUCAGAACAAGGAUAUCCACUGAUAUCUUUAAGAGCAGCUGCUCUUAUACCAUCUGAACAUACACCCGAGUUAUUGCCCCCUAAACCUCUCCAGGUGUCAAUCCCUAUCAGGACACUCCUUCCUCUUGGAAAAAUAGGAUUUCUUUAAAUUUUGUGGUAUUUGAUGAGGACAACAGCAUUUGCUUUACCUCUUUCUCCUUUAGAACCUUUUGGACCUUGAGGACCUGGAGCUCCUGGCAGACCUGGCAGACCAUCAUCUCCCUUGUCCCCCUUGGGACCUGAAACACAACCACAUUCACAAAAUUACCUCAGUAACUCAAAGAUUUCACUUUAAAAAUAACAUGUGCAAUAAUUGCUGAGCAACCCGGCACUGGGGAGUGUGUGGAAGGGGCUUCCAUCACUCUGGGAAGAGCUGGGUGUUUUAUUUGACACCAUAAAACCAGUGCAAAUCUUACAGUUCUGCAUUUCACCCUUGGCCGUAGUUAAAGACUUUUUAAAACCAACUUUGAGCUGCCUCAGAGCCACGGGAGCUCAGACAGCAAUAAAACUUCAGAAUUAAUCUCUUUUUAAUAUCUGAGUGCAUCUAAAGAGCUCCCAUUGCUUCAGAAUUGCCCCUCUCCUUAAAGAGAAUUAAGUCUGCAAAUAUAGAAGUGGCACCUGGCUGACAGUUCCUUGCUGCAGAAAGGAUGGGUUGAAAGGCAAGGAAGCUGGCUCCAAUCUUUCCUUCAUUUUUACAUCCACCCGGGAAUCUUAGAGACUCCCAGUGAAUGUCUGGGAGCAGAUUAUGGCAGCUUCAAUCAUCCCAAGGACUUUUCCAUCAAUGUUCCAGAGACAUAAGAAAUCAAACCCCCUUUGUAGCCACUGAAACUUCCAUCAGCCAAUCCCUCCCAAGCCAUGGGAAGUGAGCAUCCCUAGAGUACCCUGUAUUAAAGGAGAUUUCAUGAUUUUACCACC